RNAcentral lists this ribosomal RNA (429 nucleotides) under Fusobacteriota bacterium. RNAcentral's name for it is "Fusobacteria bacterium partial 16S ribosomal RNA". It matches the Rfam family "Bacterial small subunit ribosomal RNA", at positions 355 to 776 of the family's 1533-position model. The record is from RNAcentral. Lineage: Bacteria; Fusobacteriati; Fusobacteriota.
UGGGGAAUCUUCCGCAAUGGACGAAAGUCUGACGGAGCAACGCCGCGUGAGUGAAGACGGCCUUCGGGUUGUAAAGCUCUGUGAUCCGGGACGAAAGAGCCUGAGGUAAAUAGCCUAAGGAAGUGACGGUACCGGAAAAGCAAGCCACGGCUAACUACGUGCCAGCAGCCGCGGUAAUACGUAGGUGGCAAGCGUUGUCCGGAAUUAUUGGGCGUAAAGCGCGCGCAGGCGGCUUCCUAAGUCCAUCUUAAAAGUGCGGGGCUUAACCCCGUGAUGGGAUAGAAACUGGGAAGCUGGAGUUUCGGAGAGGAAAGUGGAAUUCCUAGUGUAGCGGUGAAAUGCGUAGAGAUUAGGAAGAACACCGGUGGCGAAGGCGACUUUCUGGACGAAAACUGACGCUGAGGCGCGAAAGCGUGGGGAGCAAACAGG